Non-coding RNA from Cyclobacterium marinum DSM 745, 169 nucleotides. The record is from Rfam. Lineage: Bacteria; Pseudomonadati; Bacteroidota; Cytophagia; Cytophagales; Cyclobacteriaceae.
UCGUUUGUGACUGCAAAUCUGAAAGAAGCUGGAGUUAAUUUUCGAGCCUAUGAACAGAAACUUCAUAUUAGACGGAUAUGUGUGGGUGAUGUUGCAAAAGAAAUAAAAGCCCAAUACUGCACAGAACACAUAAUCGUAAAUGGAGAGGCUACAAGAGUAGAAGGCGAAU